Molecule: ribosomal RNA, 614 nt
Filed under: Clostridioides difficile
Lineage: Bacteria; Bacillati; Bacillota; Clostridia; Peptostreptococcales; Peptostreptococcaceae
Description: partial 23S ribosomal RNA
Rfam family: Bacterial large subunit ribosomal RNA
Source: RNAcentral
CUCAAAGGUUCUCUCAGUACGGUCGGAAAUCGUACGUAGAGUGUAAAGGCAAAAGAGAGCUUGAUUGCAAGACAUACAGGUCGAGCAAGGAUGAAAAUCGGACUUAGUGAUCCGGUGGUUCUGCGUGGAAGGGCCAUCGCUCAACGGAUAAAAGCUACCCUGGGGAUAACAGGCUUAUCUCCCCCAAGAGUCCACAUCGACGGGGAGGUUUGGCACCUCGAUGUCGGCUCAUCACAUCCUGGGGCUGUAGUAGGUCCCAAGGGUUGGGCUGUUCGCCCAUUAAAGUGGUACGCGAGCUGGGUUCAGAACGUCGUGAGACAGUUCGGUCCCUAUCCGUCGCAGGCGUAGGAAAUUUGAGAAGACCUGUCCUUAGUACGAGAGGACCGGGAUGGACGUAUCUCUGGUGUACCAGUUGUCCUGCCAAGGGCAUGGCUGGGUAGCUAUGUACGGAAUGGAUAAGCGCUGAAAGCAUCUAAGCGCGAAGCCAACUUCAAGAUAAGAUUUCCCACCGCAAGGGUAAGACCCCAGAAAGACUAUCUGGUUGAUAGGUCGAAGGUGUAAGUGCAGCAAUGUAUUUAGCUUAUCGAUACUAAUAGGUCGAGGACUUGACCAAU